This 203-nucleotide unclassified non-coding RNA is filed under the name plant metagenome. Its description in RNAcentral is "partial contains small subunit ribosomal RNA, internal transcribed spacer 1, and 5.8S ribosomal RNA". The record is from RNAcentral.
UCUCCGUUGGUGAACCAGCGGAGGGAUCAUUACCGAGUUUACAACUCCCAAACCCAAUGUGAACUAUACCUGUCUACCGUUGCUUCGGCGGGUUCACCCGCCGAGGGACCGACAAAUAAACUCUUGUAUUUCUAUCUUUAGCAUGUCUGAGUGGAAUCAUAACAAAUGAAUCAAAACUUUCAACAACGGAUCUCUUGGUUCUG